RNAcentral lists this non-coding RNA (30 nucleotides) under Homo sapiens (human). Lineage: Eukaryota; Metazoa; Chordata; Mammalia; Primates; Hominidae. The record is from RNAcentral.
UGCAUGUUCGCAUAAGUGGGAGCUAAAUGA